GCCGCUAAUGCGGUGUGGUCAGGCGAGCACUGCGAGCACGGUCUUUUGCCUCACUUGGAGGCCGCUGCGGCCGAGGUGCGUUUCACUGCGUCGGAAAGAAUGGCUGCCUGCCGCCGCGGCUCGGGCCCACCUCGUCGCACUGGUGUGGCACUGCUCCGUGGACGCGUCCUGGCGGCAUGGACGCUGUCCGUGCCUUGAGAUGGGCCAUGUCGGCUUCAAAGGCGCGCUGGCGGUGGCGCUGGUAUUCGCAGUGGGACAGCUCGUGGGGCACGAAGAGCAGUGUGGCGGCCAAAAUAGAGGCUUCACCAUGAGGGAGAAUCGAAAAGGGUCGUCCGCGACACACGAAGACCCUGUUCGAGGCCGUGCCGCAGGGCCAAAGCGACAGGCAGAGGGAGUUGGAGGAAGCCUUGCACAUUGCUUUCAAGCCCAGGCACAAGUGCAUUUUCGUCAUCUACUUGACGUUCCCGGGAGCGCCAUUAGCCAGAUUGGUGGAGGCGUCCGUCCUUCCCGUUGUAAUCUGCCAACGGGAACCGGAGAGGGCCCCAGUGAUUGCGGCUCUGCGGAUCUGAAAUGCGGUGGCAUCCUCGUUCUGGCCGAGGCCUACCAGGAGGCGGCCGAGGCUGCCGCCGUGGUUGGCGGCCAGAUUACGUCAUCACGCGGCAGGCACGCGGGGCUUACCUCGUCACAGAGCGUGUUGCUCGUGACGGGGAGCGUGACGGGGACCACGGACGACGCAGCCCUGUCGCCCAGUAAUGGGA
Molecule: long non-coding RNA, 758 nt
Organism: Thrips palmi
Lineage: Eukaryota; Metazoa; Arthropoda; Insecta; Thysanoptera; Thripidae
Exons: 4
Source: RefSeq, a predicted model, not a curated record